This 457-nucleotide ribosomal RNA is filed under the name uncultured bacterium. RNAcentral describes it as "SSU rRNA". It matches the Rfam family "Bacterial small subunit ribosomal RNA", at positions 26 to 518 of the family's 1533-position model. The record is from RNAcentral.
AGAAUCAACGCUGGCGGCGUGCCUAACACAUGCAAGUCGCACGAGAAAGGGGAGCAAUCCCUGAGUACAGUGGCGCACGGGUGAGUAACACGUGAAUAAUCUACCUCCGAGUGGGGAAUAACUGAGAGAAAUCUUAGCUAAUACCGCAUAACACUUACGAGUCAAAGCAGCAAUGCGCUUGGAGAGGAGUUCGCGGCAGAUUAGUUAGUUGGCGGGGUAAUGGCCCACCAAGACGAUGAUCUGUAUCCGGCCUGAGAGGGCGCACGGACACACUGGAACUGAAACACGGUCCAGACUCCUACGGGAGGCAGCAGUGGGGAAUUUUGCGCAAUGGGGAAACCCUGACGCAGCAACGCCGCGUGGAGGAUGAAGCCCCUUGGGUGUAAACUCCUUCGAUCGGGAAGAUAAUGACGGUACCGAUAUAAGAAGCCCCGGCUAACUUCGUGCCAGCAGCCGC